RNAcentral lists this small nuclear RNA (22 nucleotides) under Arabidopsis thaliana (thale cress). Its description in RNAcentral is "snRNA_09019". Lineage: Eukaryota; Viridiplantae; Streptophyta; Magnoliopsida; Brassicales; Brassicaceae. The record is from RNAcentral.
AAACAAAAUGAAGGAAAAAAAA